GGCUCAGAACGAACGCUGGUAGCGUGGAUUAGGCAUGCAAGUCGAACGGGAUCCGGGAGGUAGCAAUACUUCCUGGUGAGAGUGGCGGAUGGGGAGGAACACGUGAGCAACCUGCCCUUGAGUUGGGGAAAACCGUUGGAAACGACGGCUAAUACCGGAUGCGGCGCCCGAAGACAUCUUCGGAGCGCUAAAGGGGGCCGCAAGGCUCCCGCUCGAGGAGGGGCUCGCGCACCAUCAGCUUGUUGGCGGGGUAACGGCCCACCAAGGCCUACGGUUAGCUGGUCUGAGAGGAUGACCAGCCCCACUGGGACUGAGAUACUGCCCAGACUCCUACGGGAGGCUGCAGUCGAGGAUCAUUUGCAAUGGGCGAAAGCCUGACAAUGCGACGCUGCGUGGAGGAAUGAAGGCCUUCGGGUUGUAAACUCCUGUCAUGGGGGAACAGGCGAGGGGAGUCAAUACCUCCCUUAGUUGAGUGUACCCCAAGAGGAAUUGGCGGCUAACUCUGUGCCAGCAGCAGC
This 518-nucleotide ribosomal RNA is filed under the name uncultured bacterium. Its description in RNAcentral is "bacterial SSU rRNA". It matches the Rfam family "Bacterial small subunit ribosomal RNA", at positions 21 to 518 of the family's 1533-position model. The record is from RNAcentral.